This 75-nucleotide transfer RNA is filed under the name Desulfoscipio geothermicus. RNAcentral's name for it is "tRNA_Asn_GTT". It matches the Rfam family "tRNA". Rfam says of the family: Transfer RNA (tRNA) molecules are approximately 80 nucleotides in length. RNAcentral also lists the same sequence under 14 other names. Lineage: Bacteria; Bacillati; Bacillota; Clostridia; Eubacteriales; Desulfallaceae. The record is from RNAcentral.
UCCUCGAUAGCUCAACGGUAGAGCAUCCGGCUGUUAACCGGAGGGUUGCUGGUUCGAAUCCAGCUCGGGGAGCCA